GUGGCGCARCUAACGCAUUAAGUUGACCCCCUGGGGAGUACGGCCCCCAGGAUAAAACUCCAAUGAAUUGGCGGGGGCCCGCCCAAGCGGGGGAACAUGUGGUUUAAUUUGAAGCAACCCGAAAAACCUUACCCGGCCUUGACAUGCAGARAACUUUCCCRAAAUGGAUUGGUGCCUUCSGGAACUCUGACACAGGUGCUGCAUGGCUGUCCUCAGCUCCUGUCCUGRGAUGUUGGGUUAAAUCCCGUAACGAGCGCAACCCUUGUCCUUAAUUACCACCACGUUAUGGUGGGCACUCUAAGGAGACUGCCGGUGACAAACCGGAGGAAGGUGGGGAGGAGGUCAAGUCWUCAUGGCCCUUACGGCCUGGGCUACCCCCGUGCUACAAUGGUCGGUACAAAGGGUUGCCAAGCCCCGAGGCGGAGCUAAUCUCACAAAACCGAUCCUAUUCCGGAUGGCAUUCUGCAAUUGGAYUCCGUGAAUUCGGAAUCSCUKGUAAUCCCGAAUCAGAAUGUCGCGGUGAAUACGUUCCCGGGCCUUGUACACACCGCCCGUCACACCAUGGGAGUGGGUUGCACCAGAAGUAGCUAGUCUAACCUUCGGG
RNAcentral lists this ribosomal RNA (604 nucleotides) under Pseudomonas plecoglossicida. RNAcentral describes it as "bacterial SSU rRNA". The record is from RNAcentral. Lineage: Bacteria; Pseudomonadati; Pseudomonadota; Gammaproteobacteria; Pseudomonadales; Pseudomonadaceae.